Molecule: small nucleolar RNA, 106 nt
Organism: Benincasa hispida (wax gourd)
Lineage: Eukaryota; Viridiplantae; Streptophyta; Magnoliopsida; Cucurbitales; Cucurbitaceae
Source: RefSeq, a predicted model, not a curated record
AAACCAUUAUGUGGGCAAUUUUUUACUAGCUUCUUAAAUCUCUUCCAAGCUUCACUCAAUAUUUCCCAAUUCUUCUGUUGAAAAUUUGUGAUUUCUCGCUACCUCU